This 253-nucleotide ribosomal RNA is filed under the name uncultured bacterium. RNAcentral describes it as "partial 16S ribosomal RNA". It matches the Rfam family "Bacterial small subunit ribosomal RNA", at positions 524 to 776 of the family's 1533-position model. The record is from RNAcentral.
UACGUAGGGUGCAAGCGUUGUCCGGAAUUAUUGGGCGUAAAGAGCUCGUAGGCGGUUUGUUGCGUCGGCUGUGAAAUCCCGAGGCUCAACCUCGGGUCUGCAGUCGAUACGAGCAAACUAGAGUGUUGCAGGGGAGACUGGAAUUCCUGGUGUAGCGGUGAAAUGCGCAGAUAUCGGGAGGAACACCAGUGGCGAAGGCGGCGACCUGGGCCAAUACUGACGCUGAGGUGCGAAAGCGUGGGGAGCAAACAGG